CAGAGUCAAGUCACCAAUGCGCUUGCGCCUUCCUCCCUGCUGCCUUUAUGUCGGACAAUCAUGGACCUUCCCGGACACCGUAGAUAAUAAGUCGGUCUUGGCAUAAACUUCCGGGAAGUUUUCGGCGACCUGGAUACCAUCUUCGACACUGGAACAAAUGCAGGGAUGGAGUCCAGGAUUUCCUGCAGGUUCGGCGCUUCCUGACCUGGCGCGACUGCCGACUUCUCGGCACUACUCAGCUCAAGAUCCCAGAGGAAGAGGAGCCAUCUUUCCCAGUGACUUUAGCAGAAAAGUCCCUGAGUCAGUCACUGUGCCCACUGGAAGACAAAUGGAGACUCACCAAGCUUUGGUCAUGAACUCACUGGGACUGCAAGAGACUGGGUCAGCCCCACCAAAGUAACGCAGAAGGGAAAUACGUGGUUUUUCAAAGGAAAGAUUAUCAGUAAGUGAGCCAAGGUGCUGUAGAAGUGAAAUGCUUUCUCAGUUGAACUGUCUUUCCGCACGGAUUUGCCUUCCCACCUAAAAGCUAAAAGCUUCCAUAAGGGACUUGUAACAACCCAGGAGUAUUAGCUGGGUGUGGUGGUGCAUGCCUGUAGACCCAGCUACUCAGGAAACUGAGGCAGGAGAAUCGCUAGAACUCGGGAGGCGGAGGUUGCGGUGA
This is a non-coding RNA of Chlorocebus sabaeus (green monkey), 661 nucleotides long. Lineage: Eukaryota; Metazoa; Chordata; Mammalia; Primates; Cercopithecidae. The record is from RefSeq and is a predicted model, not a curated record.